Molecule: transfer-messenger RNA, 367 nt
Filed under: uncultured Ligilactobacillus sp.
Lineage: Bacteria; Bacillati; Bacillota; Bacilli; Lactobacillales; Lactobacillaceae
Rfam family: transfer-messenger RNA
About the family: Bacterial tmRNA, also known as 10Sa RNA or SsrA, is named for its dual tRNA and mRNA-like properties. Its role is to liberate the mRNA from a stalled ribosome. To accomplish this part of the tmRNA is used as a reading frame that ends in a translation stop signal.
Source: RNAcentral
GGGGAUGUUUUGGAUUCGACAGGUAUAGGUCGAGCCUAGAUUGCGUUUGGUAGGUUGCGUCUACCAUAAAACGCUCAGUUAAAUAUAACUGCAAAAAAUAACAAUAACUCUUACGCUUUAGCUGCCUAAUCGGCCUAGCGUAGAUCUGGCUUAGCAUCGUCCAUGUGCUAAACCCAGGUCCUAUAAUUAAGUGGACUACGCUUUAGACUUUCACCUAGAGUUUAAAGAAGAGUAACUUAGGUUAGCCGUUAAUAUUAGCCCUGUCAUAUGGCGCAGUUGGCGGUGAAAUUUAAAUAAUAUGACUAUGAACGUAGAUAUUUAGGUGGCGAUAUGCUUGGACGCGGGUUCGAUCCCCGCCAUCUCCAUC